Long non-coding RNA from Cyprinus carpio (common carp), 399 nucleotides. The record is from Ensembl. Lineage: Eukaryota; Metazoa; Chordata; Actinopteri; Cypriniformes; Cyprinidae.
AUGACAGAUUUUCACGUGUUCGUGCACUUGUUUUAUGUUAUCGUCAGUGGGUUUUUUGUUUUUUUGUUCUGUUUGGCUUUUAAUUACAGAACAGUCUCUAUGUGCGCCGGCGCAUGUUUAAGAGUCUCUGCUAUUAAACUUUCUAUCUCCUUCUUCCCAAGACCAGCUUUCCAUUUCAUGACGGCAUCUGGAAUUAAACAGAGGUCACAGCCGUUACAGUAUGCUGUAGUGGCUCCAUACAUUGUUAGUGGCUACUGCGCGCAUUACCCUCCUUACACACUCCCCUGGACUGGCCCCACUAAUAAGGCUGAGAUGGUGUGUCUGGAAGAAAACACCAUUUGUUGGCAUGCAGGGUCCUUAAGGUGGUUCUCAAGGUCCUCCAAUUCCUCCUUGCACUGA